AGUGAACGCUGGCGGUAGGCCUAACACAUGCAAGCCGAACGGCAGCACAGGAGAGCUUGCUCUCUGGGUGGCGGGUGGCGGACGGGUGAGGAAUACAUCGGAAUCUACUCUGUCGUGGGGGAUAACGUAGGGAAACUUACGCUAAUACCGCAUACGACCUACGGGUGAAAGCAGGGGAUCUUCGGACCUUGCGCGAUUGAAUGCGCCGAUGUAGGAUUAGCUAGUUGGCGGGGUAAAGGCCCACCAAGGCGAUGAUCCGUAGCUGGUCUGAGAGGAUGAUCAGCCACACUGGAACUGAGACACGGUCCAGACUCCUACGGGAGGCAGCAGUGGGGAAUAUUGGACAAUGGGCGCAAGCCUGAUCCAGCCAUACCGCGUGGGUGAAGAAGGCCUUCGGGUUGUAAAGCCCUUUUGUUGGGAAAGAAAUCCAGCUGGCUAAUACCCGGUUGGGAUGACGGUACCCAAAGAAUAAGCACCGGCUAACUUCGUGCCAGCCGCCGCCGUAA
RNAcentral lists this ribosomal RNA (506 nucleotides) under uncultured bacterium. Its description in RNAcentral is "partial 16S ribosomal RNA". It matches the Rfam family "Bacterial small subunit ribosomal RNA", at positions 29 to 523 of the family's 1533-position model. The record is from RNAcentral.